This 481-nucleotide ribosomal RNA is filed under the name uncultured bacterium. RNAcentral's name for it is "bacterial SSU rRNA". It matches the Rfam family "Bacterial small subunit ribosomal RNA", at positions 33 to 507 of the family's 1533-position model. The record is from RNAcentral.
GACGACGCUGGCGGCGUGCCUAACACAUGCAAGUCGGACGGAUCAGGGAUGACAGCUUGCUGUAGUUCCUGGUUAGUGGCGGACGGGUGAGUAACGCGUGAGGACCUACCCUGGAGAGGGGGAUAACGGCUGGAAACGGCUGCUAAUACCCCGUAAGCCGGAGGGUGAAAGGGAGCGAUCUGCUCCGGGGCGGCCUUGCGUCCUAUCAGCUAGUUGGUGGGGUAAUGGCCUACCAAGGCGAAGACGGGUAGCCGGCCUGAGAGGGCGACCGGCCACACUGGAACUGAGACACGGUCCAGACUCCUACGGGAGGCAGCAGUCGAGAAUAGUCUACAAUGGUCGGAAGACUGAUAGUGCGACGCCGCGUGAACGAUGAAUCCCUUCGGGGUGUAAAGUUCUUUUAUAUGUGAGCAGUGCUUCUUAUAUUAACAGUAUGGGGAGAGAGAUAUUAGCAUAUGAAUAAGCAACGGCUAACUCCGUG